UAGAAUCAUGGGCAACUUUUUCACUCUCAUUCUCUUCUGUGCUUCCUGUUUACUGCGGCACUGCUCACAAUAGUACUUAUAUUCACUGCACAGAGUUUCAGUAUUACUAAACCCUCUCAGACAGUGUGUAAUUGAUGUAUUUUGUUCCACAUCAACCGAUAGAUCCAGAAAGUCCUCAUCUUUGCUACUAACAGCCUCACAGUUAAGACAUCUGGUUUCAUUGGUUAGUGUUCCUUGGAAGAUUUCAUGGACCCACGUCAGAUCAGUCUUGUCUCCUUCUUCACUUUCAAUGCUG
This 295-nucleotide long non-coding RNA is filed under the name Gallus gallus (chicken). Lineage: Eukaryota; Metazoa; Chordata; Aves; Galliformes; Phasianidae. The record is from RNAcentral.